RNAcentral lists this unclassified non-coding RNA (216 nucleotides) under Pseudomonas chlororaphis. RNAcentral describes it as "Pseudomonas sRNA P4". Lineage: Bacteria; Pseudomonadati; Pseudomonadota; Gammaproteobacteria; Pseudomonadales; Pseudomonadaceae. The record is from RNAcentral.
GAAGAAUCUCCUUUCGUCGUGUGUAUACGGAGGUCAAUGGUUCUUGCAUGACGCCAUGGCGCUCAGAUCCUCUGCCCUGCUCUGAGAGCGUUGUGCGGGGUGAGGCCAUGGCUAAGAAGUUCGCAGUUUCCGGUGACAGAUAAAGGAAAAAACCUCGGGAGAAAGGCCUUGAUUUUCAAAAACUUUCUCGGGUGUUCGAGGGCCCUGGCGCGGGCU